AGCAUACAACUCCCCUGUUGCAUCAGCUCCACUGGCUGCCAGUCUGCUACCAAGCACAAUCCAAAGUGUUGGCUUUAGCCUAUAAAGCCCUAAACGGUUCUGGCCCAGUCUACCUGUCUGAAUGUAUUCCCCCCCCCCCUCCGAACCAUCUCAGAUUGUCUGGGAAGAACCUGCUUUCAAUCCCAUCUCUUUCACAACCGUGACUGGUGGGGAUGAGAGACAGGGCCUUCUCAGUGGUGGCCCCCCAGCUGUGGAACUCCCUCCCUAGCAAUAUUAGAUCAGCCCCCUCCCUCCUAGCCUUCAGAAGAAGAGUGAAGACCUGACUUUGGAAACAAUAGUGCAGUGCAAUAAUUUUAACCGGAAAUUGUGCAAUUGUUACAGAAAGGGUUAGACCUUGUUUUUGGAUGAUGUGUCUUAUCAUUGGAAUGUAUUUUCACUAUGCUUUUAUGUAUGUUUUCAAUUUUAACCUAAUUUUUAUCUUAUGCUUUGUUUUUAUGUUUGAGGUAGUGCCAUUUGUAAGCCACCUUGAGUCCCCCUUGGAGUAGAGAAAGGCAGGAUAUAAAUAAGACUUGAUACUAGGGGAAGUCUGGCCCAGGUUGAAGGCAGCCAACUACAAGAUUCAAAGACUUCAAAGAGAUCCAUCAUGAGAAUCAUACUGGAUCUUAUUCUGAAAUCCUGUGAUGGCAUAAACCAUUGUUGUAACCUGCCUUGAGCCUCAGGGAGAGGUGCUGUUCAUCCAACACAGAAUUCACAGAGCUAAGCAAGCAAUCCCAAGGAUGUCUUUUGAAUUCCAAGGCUAGAGGACAAACAGUAGACAGUCUCAAACACUGGGCAAAAAAAUAUAAGUCGUAAGGCUUGUUUAAUCCAGUUAUUGGACCCUUACAUUGCCAAACAUAUAAUCAGUCUUUUAUUGUACAUUCUGCUAGCUUCCUCAUAUUUAAUGCUUCCUUGACUUCUUUGGGGAUUUUUGAGACAAAACAUCACAUACAGUAUAAUCCUGCACAUAUCUACUCAGGAAUACAAUGGGAGUUCCUCCCAUUGGAGUUUAUAACUCCAUUAAUUCUGGAAGCAAUUUACAGUUCAGUUGAUAUUUAUUUACCAGAAUGCAAAGAAGCAGAUUCUUCUGAGUACCAAAAUGCAUGAGAGAAGGAUUUUUGAAUGUAGGGUAAAUCUUGUAAGCAAUGACCAUUCGAUGCCAAACCAUGCAAGAUUUUAAGAGUUUCACUGCACAGACUAACAGAGGACAGGGUUAUCAUCCCCCCCCUGAAAAUAACAUUGAGAAAGGUAUUAUAGAAUGAAAUGAACUAAAUGAAUUUUUCUUCCAUCCCUAAUGAAGGAAACAAACAUACAAAUGUUACACAUACUGCCAAAACUCAGACGCCAAUUGAGAGCAAAAUAUAGUUUAUUAAAGUAAUGGUCCAAAAACAGUUCAAAGAAUUAGGAAAAACUUAAAACACUUAAACUUCAGUGUUGUUAAGUAGUUAAAACAGAAGAAAUGCCAAAAACAUGAACUGACAUAUAAUCCAGAUAAACCAGAGAUAAAAUCCGGACUAAACAUAAAAUACUUGAACUCAGCCCAAAAUCACAAAACAGGCUUGAAAUGGUGAAACAAACAAAAACAAACAGCUAUGAAGCCCCAAAACCUUCCCAAAAUUCAGGAGUACGAAAGUAGCUUUAAACCAAAACAAACACUGGAGAACUCUCUGUUGAGAGCAGCAAAGCAAGCGGAACAGAAAGACGCUGGCGAGCCCGCAGCAAACCGCUGCUGGAGUGAAGACCAAACCAGGAGUUAAAGAAGCAGAGCAGGAAAGAGUCGUCAAGCCGGUCCGAAGUCGGGAUAAGCGAGCAGCGUUAAACCGCUGCAAGAGCAAAAGCCAAGACAGGAAUUGAAGGAGCAGAGCAGGAAAGCAUCGUCAAGCCAGUCCGAAGUCGGGAUAAGCAGGCAGCGUCAGGGUCAGGAGCAAAGCCAGCAGUCAGCAACAGAAAGCAGCCACGGAAUUGAGAAUGACGCCAAAACACGUUUUGGGAGCGAAGAGCAAAGCCGAGUCGAAUUCCAGUCCAAGGUCCGAAGAGUUGAAGUCAUCAAAAGAAGGUCCAUGUCACAGAAUGGCACAGAAAGCCAAAACAAUGAAGGCGAACAGCAGCUAAUGCAAAAUAGUAAUAACAAUGCAGGGAAACCCACCCAAUUCCAGCCCUCAGUUGCAGAAUAACCCGGAUCAAACUUACAUCUGUUGCAAAGUCCCAAGCCAGUCUUCAGAAUCACGUACAGGAAACCCAAUGGCGCCCAGCAACACCUUGCCACACGCAAAGCAUAGUGGCCAAACAUCCCCAAUUUAUUUAGGUUUCCUUGGGCAUCCAAACUGCUAAUGCCCUAGGAUCAGGUGUUCCAAAUUCUUCAUCCGAAUCUGAGCUCCAAACAGCCAACGCCCUUGGAUCAGGCGUCGCAAACUCUUCAUCAGAGUCAAUAUCAUUCUGCCCACACCCAACUCUGUCCACACCUGUGAAACCACCCUCAUUCCUCCAGGCAGACCAUGUGGGAUCUGCUUCUGAAGAUACCCAAGCCUCUGCAGCAUCAACAGCAA
This is a long non-coding RNA of Anolis carolinensis (green anole), 2582 nucleotides long. RefSeq lists it as uncharacterized. Lineage: Eukaryota; Metazoa; Chordata; Lepidosauria; Squamata; Anolidae. The transcript has 3 exons. The record is from RefSeq and is a predicted model, not a curated record.